Molecule: ribosomal RNA, 371 nt
Filed under: uncultured bacterium
Lineage: Bacteria
Description: bacterial SSU rRNA
Rfam family: Bacterial small subunit ribosomal RNA
Source: RNAcentral
ACAUAUGGGGCAAGCGUUGUUCGGAAUUACUGGGCAUAAAGGGUGCGUAGGUGGUCUAUUAAGUCAGGGGUGAAAUCCCGCGGCCCAACCGUGGAACGGCCUUUGAUACUGGUGGACUUGAGUGCGUGAGGGGUAGGGGGAACGAGCAGUGUAGCGGUGAAAUGCGUAGAUAUUGCUCGGAAGGCCAGAGCCGAAGGGGCCCUACUGGUACGUAACUGACACUGAGGCACGAAAGCGUGGGGAGCAAACAGGAUUAGAUACCCUGGUAGUCCACGCCGUAAACGAUGAGCACUAGAUGGAUGUCGAGCUAUCGAUGUCUGUCGGAGACAAUUUGGUAAGUGCUCCGCCUGGGGAGUAUGGUCGCAAGGCUG